AGUGAACGCUGGCGGUAGGCCUAACACAUGCAAGUCGAACGGCAGCACAGUAAGAGCUUGCUCUUACGGGUGGCGAGUGGCGGACGGGUGAGGAAUACAUCGGAAUCUACUUUUUCGUUGGGUAUAACGUAGGGAAACUUACGCUAAUACCGCAUACGACCUACGGGUGAAAGCAGGGGAUCUUCUGACCUUGCUCGAUUGAAUGAGCCGAUGUCGGAUUAGCUAGUUGGCGGGGUAAAGGCCCACCAAGGCGACGAUCCGUAGCUGGUCUGAGAGGAUGAUCAGCCACACUGGAACUGAGACACGGUCAAGACGCCUACGGGAGGCAGCAGUGGGGAAUAUUGGACAAUGGGAGCAAGCCUGAUCCAGCCAUACCGCGUGGGUGAAGAAGGCCUUCGGGUUGUAAAGCCCUUUUGUUGGGAAAGAAAAGCAGCAGGUUAAUACCCCGCUGUUCUGACGGUACCCAAAGAAUAAGCACCGGCUAACUUCGUG
RNAcentral lists this ribosomal RNA (492 nucleotides) under uncultured bacterium. RNAcentral describes it as "partial 16S ribosomal RNA". It matches the Rfam family "Bacterial small subunit ribosomal RNA", at positions 29 to 507 of the family's 1533-position model. The record is from RNAcentral.